Molecule: long non-coding RNA, 1714 nt
Organism: Talpa occidentalis (Iberian mole)
Lineage: Eukaryota; Metazoa; Chordata; Mammalia; Eulipotyphla; Talpidae
Exons: 4
Source: RefSeq, a predicted model, not a curated record
CGGACUCAGAACUAGGGGUCUCCCCUGAAGUAACCUGCUCAAAGGGGCCUCCUCCAACCUCCUGACCUCCCUUGUGCACCCCACACCUGCUUGUUAGUGUUGGGGGCCUGUUGUCCCCCAAGGCCCUGACUUGUGUCAUCUGGGGAACCACGUGGGACCCCAAAGGAAGCCCCUGUGAGUCCUGCUGCAUGUCCAGCAGAGAGGGGCCUCACCAGCCUCAGCUGAGCUCAUCUGCAGAGGAGAUGCUGCUGUUGCCCAUCAGCCCCUCAGCCUCGUCCUCUCAGAAAACCCCUCAGUCCACUGAGAACAUGAAACGUCACCUCUGAUCCAAGCACCACGGGACAUGGCAGCAUCCCUCCAGCCACGGCUCAGGAAACUGCACCCAGAUAAGGAGGACAAGACUCCAGCAUCCGGGACUCACUCACAGACCCCCAGUGCACACUCAGUGUUGUGUACAUUCCUGACCUCUACCUCCCAGUAACAUCGCCCUGAUGUGAUGCCCUCAAGACCACAAGCACUGUAUCCUUCUUUAUUUCCAUCCUUGGAACUCUUCAGACUCUUCCUAUCCUGAGAGAGGACAAUUCCACCAUAACAAGAACCUGGAUCCAGAGUGACAGGCCCUGCAGAGAGAGAACCCAUACACCAGCCUGACAUAACAAGGACACACACCUCCUCACCCCAGAUACUCAGCUUUAUGAGGAGGGGGAUAUGUUCCCUGAAAUGAGAGCCUGGUGACCCCAGCCCACAGUCCCCAAGCAAGAGAAGGAGCCACAAGAUUACUGGGGGUCAGAUAUGUCACAGGACUCCUGGGGACCCACCUGGACCCCAAGGACUAAACAGCCCCUUUCAGCACCCAUGACCAGUCACCCCUCAGCCCAGCUGUGUGACAACACAGCUGCAUCCACCCCACCCCCACGGAGCGUGCAGAAUCUGUGCCCACACAGAGAAUAGAAGGAAAGGUCAGAAGCUGAGCAGCCCCAGAGAGAACAGAGUCACUCACAGGCCCGGAACUGCUCCUUCCGCCAAUCUGCAAGAGACACACAUGUCACGUGAGGGACUCUAGAUACUGACACAUCAGGGCCCAUGCCUAGUUUUCUAAAUGACAGUAACACAGAGUUCACAGGGGAAAAUAUUUGGAAACAUUUAGUUGAUGCAUUUAAUUUUUAGAUACAUACACACAUACACACACACAGAGUUGUUAUACUGCAAAUUUCCAUGAUUUAAGACAUAAAGCUUAAUACGCAGAGUAAGAAGCUGGACACCAACGGAACAGAAAGUUCUUUUACCACAUAUGACCAUCAGUUUAUACUUUGGAAGUCACCAGCCACAGGCCCAUCCUGGAAACCAGGUUUUCUUGAACAGGUUCUAUGGAGAUGAAGUGCCCAGGACUGCGUGUGCUUGUGAAGAACUAACAGACAUGGACAUGCAGCUUCUCUCUGAGCCACGGGGCUUAGAGCUACAACCAGCUCAGGCCUGUGUGCGGCCCUCCUGGGGCAGCAAAGGCCUGUGGAAACCUGGAGACGAGGGGGCUGGUGGGCAGAGCUUCUCCCUCUGAUUGUGAAUGAAUCUGUUUGUCCAACAAGGAAAGAGAGACAGACAGACAGACAGAGAGACUGACACAACGUGACUGAGAUACAUGUGGGGUGACUGUGACAUGAGUGAGGAGACUCACGACACUCAGCAGAGGGUCCUGCCCACUCAGGAGGGGUGGAGA